CAAUAGCGUAUAUUAAAGUUGUUGCGGUUAAAACGCUCGUAGUUGGAUUUCUGUUGAGGGCAGCCGGUCCGCACUUCGUGCGUGUAUCUGGUUUGACCUCGGCAUCCUCUCAAAAUACGUUUCUGCGCUUGAUUGCGUGGAGCGGAGUUUGAGACUUUUACUUUGAGGAAAUUAGAGUGUUCACGGCAGGCAAUCGCCUUGAAUAUAUUAGCAUGGAAUAAUAAUAUAGGAUCUUGGUUCUAUUUUGUUGGUUUCUAGAGCUAAGAUAAUGAUUAAUAGGGACAAUUAGGAACAUUCGUAUUAACGCGUCAGAGGUGGAAUUCUUGGAUUGCGUUACGACGAACUACUGCGAAAGCAUUUGCCAAGGAUGUUUUCAUUGA
This 380-nucleotide ribosomal RNA is filed under the name uncultured eukaryote. RNAcentral describes it as "partial 18S ribosomal RNA". It matches the Rfam family "Eukaryotic small subunit ribosomal RNA", at positions 592 to 976 of the family's 1831-position model. The record is from RNAcentral.